AAGUCGUAACAAGGUUUCCGUAGGUGAACCUGCGGAAGGAUCAUUAUCGAGUUUUGAAAGGAGUUGUAGCUGGCCUCUCGGGGCAUGUGCACGCUCCGCUCAUUUCCAACUCUAACACCUGUGAACUAGCUGUAGGUCGGUUAGGAGUGGGCCUUUGCGGGUCCCUUCGCGCCUUCCUAUGUCUUUAACAAACUCUUGUCGUAUCAGAAUGUAUUCGCGCUUUAUAAACGCAUCAAUAUAA
This 241-nucleotide unclassified non-coding RNA is filed under the name plant metagenome. RNAcentral describes it as "partial contains small subunit ribosomal RNA and internal transcribed spacer 1". The stretch from base 1 to 46 matches the Rfam family "Eukaryotic small subunit ribosomal RNA", at positions 1786 to 1831 of the family's 1831-position model. The record is from RNAcentral.